This 69-nucleotide transfer RNA is filed under the name Callionymus maculatus (spotted dragonet). Its description in RNAcentral is "tRNA-Asp". It matches the Rfam family "tRNA". Rfam says of the family: Transfer RNA (tRNA) molecules are approximately 80 nucleotides in length. Their secondary structure includes four short double-helical elements and three loops (D, anti-codon, and T loops). Further hydrogen bonds mediate the characteristic L-shaped molecular structure. tRNAs have two regions of fundamental functional importance: the anti-codon, which is responsible for specific mRNA codon recognition, and the 3' end, to which the tRNAs corresponding amino acid is attached (by aminoacyl-tRNA synthetases). tRNAs cope with the degeneracy of the genetic code in two manners: having more than one tRNA (with a specific anti-codon) for a particular amino acid; and 'wobble' base-pairing, i.e. permitting non-standard base-pairing at the 3rd anti-codon position. Lineage: Eukaryota; Metazoa; Chordata; Actinopteri; Syngnathiformes; Callionymidae. The record is from RNAcentral.
GAGGGCUUAAUAAAAUUAUUAUACUGCUUUGUCAAGGCAGAAUUGUGAGUUAGACCCUCACAUCUCUCU